RNAcentral lists this ribosomal RNA (411 nucleotides) under uncultured bacterium. Its description in RNAcentral is "bacterial SSU rRNA". It matches the Rfam family "Bacterial small subunit ribosomal RNA", at positions 354 to 762 of the family's 1533-position model. The record is from RNAcentral.
GUAAGGAAUAUUGGUCAAUGGACGAAAGUCUGAACCAGCCAUGCCGCGUGGAGGAUGAAGGUCCUCUGGAUUGUAAACUUCUUUUAUCUGGGACGAAAAAAGGGUUUUCUAACUCACUUGACGGUACCAGAUGAAUAAGCACCGGCUAACUCCGUGCCAGCAGCCGCGGUAAUACGGAGGGUGCAAGCGUUAUCCGGAUUCACUGGGUUUAAAGGGUGCGUAGGCGGGCAUGUAAGUCAGUGGUGAAAUCUCCGGGCUUAACUCGGAAACUGCCAUUGAUACUAUAUGUCUUGAAUUAUCUGGAGGUUAGCGGAAUAUGUCAUGUAGCGGUGAAAUGCUUAGAUAUGACAUAGAACACCCAUUGCGAAGGCAGCUAACUACGGGUAUAUUGACGCUGAGGCACGAAAGCGU